Molecule: ribosomal RNA, 428 nt
Filed under: uncultured bacterium
Lineage: Bacteria
Description: partial 16S ribosomal RNA
Rfam family: Bacterial small subunit ribosomal RNA
Source: RNAcentral
GUGGGGAAUAUUGGGCAAUGGGGGAAACCCUGACCCAGCAACGCCGCGUGAAGGAAGAAGGCUUUCGGGUUGUAAACUUCUUUGACGAGGGACGAAACAAAUGACGGUACCUCGAAAACAAGCCACGGCUAACUACGUGCCAGCAGCCGCGGUAAUACGUAGGUGGCAAGCGUUGUCCGGAUUUACUGGGUGUAAAGGGCGUGUAGGCGGGUCUGCAAGUCAGAUGUGAAAUGCCAGGGCUUAACCCUGGAGCUGCAUUUGAAACUGCAGGUCUUGAGUGAUGGAGAGGCAGGCGGAAUUCCGUGUGUAGCGGUGAAAUGCGUAGAGAUACGGAGGAACACCAGUGGCGAAGGCGGCCUGCUGGACAUUAACUGACGCUGAGGCGCGAAAGCGUGGGGAGCAAACAGGAUUAGAAACCCCUGUAGUCC